RNAcentral lists this long non-coding RNA (221 nucleotides) under Brachypodium distachyon (stiff brome). RNAcentral describes it as "long non-coding RNA (BDIS_LNC005438)". Lineage: Eukaryota; Viridiplantae; Streptophyta; Magnoliopsida; Poales; Poaceae. The record is from RNAcentral.
GUCUUCACUGCAAUCUUCUCAUCAUGCUUCUCUUUCUCUUGUUGUAGAUUUAGAUUUAGUUUUUUCUUCUUUCUUUUCUAGCGAGUCGGUUGUAAUCGGCUUAACUCUAUAUUCUUUUUACUCCUCUUAAUGAAAUGAAAACAUCACGUAAUUUUUUACUAGCUUUUGAUCAUUUCAUCGAGGACCAAAAUAUUUAUAUUGUUGAAAUUUUAAACCCUAGG